This 320-nucleotide ribosomal RNA is filed under the name uncultured eukaryote. RNAcentral's name for it is "partial 18S ribosomal RNA". It matches the Rfam family "Eukaryotic small subunit ribosomal RNA", at positions 1470 to 1796 of the family's 1831-position model. The record is from RNAcentral.
CCCUUAGAUGUUCUGGGCUGCACGCGUGUUACAAUCGGGAGUACAACAAGAUUGCAAAUCCUAGUGGAUGAGUGGUUCUUCGAAAUUUUCUGAAGACUGGGAUAGUUGAUUGAAAUUAUUCAACUCAAACAAGGAAUUCCUUGUAAUUGUAAUUCAUUAUAUUGUAAUGAAUACGUCCCUGCCCUUUGUACACACCGCCCGUCGCUCCUACCGAUUGAACGAUCCGGUGAAUUAUUUGGAGUAGCUCUGGAAGUUGCAGAACUUCCUAUGUCACGAAAUUUUGUAAACCUUAUCGUUUAGAGGAAGGAAAAGUCGUAACA